RNAcentral lists this transfer RNA (85 nucleotides) under Actinomycetota bacterium. Its description in RNAcentral is "tRNA-Tyr". It matches the Rfam family "tRNA". From Rfam's summary of the family: Transfer RNA (tRNA) molecules are approximately 80 nucleotides in length. The record is from RNAcentral. Lineage: Bacteria; Bacillati; Actinomycetota.
GGGUCGGUGCCCGAGUGGCCAAAGGGAGCAGACUGUAAAUCUGCCGGUUCUGCCUUCGAAGGUUCGAAUCCUUCCCGGCCCACCA